CUCCUAUUAUUUAAUUAAUCAUCAUGGACAUUUGGGAAUGGGGUCCCAUGUCUAUCCCAUUUGUCUAUGGCCACAAGUAUUUUUUUACCAUUAUAGAUGACUACUAAAGGCACACUUGGUUGUUCUUGAUGAAAUCGAAAUCCGAAACCCAAUGGGCUACUAAUCGGUUGUAUAAAGCUGGCAGAAAUUUGGUUCAGUAGCAGAGUUAAAUCAGACAAAAUGUGAGCUAUAUAUAUAUGUGGCAAUGACAUAGAAACUGUUUGGAAAAUUUUCUUAUAAGAAACACUUAUCAAACUUCCUCAUUUAGCUUAUUUAAAAUUAAUUUUAAAAGCUCAAUCCUAACUUUAUAUUGUUAGGCCUUAUUGUAAGUGACUGUCAUUAUAUCAAGAAACUGUUAUUGAAGGGUACCAUUUGUAUGAAAAGGUAUACGAAGCACAAGUAGAACUACCAACAACAACAGCAGGAAACCACAAACUUAAUCAUACAUUAAGAAAACCAAAGAACGUGAAUAUAUAAUUAUCCACGAAACCUUGCUUGCAGUAUGUGAAGCAUCAGUUUGUAGAACAUCUUCAGCUUUGAGCAUCUUCUUCUUCUUGGUAAUCAUCACCAUCUUCAUAAACUGGGGCAUCCUGGUAUUGUUGAUAUUCAGCAACAAGAUCAUUCAUAUUGCUUUCUGCUUCAGUAAAUUCCAUUUCAUCCAUUCCUUCUCCGGUAUACCAAUGCAAGAAUGCUUUCCUUCUGAACAUGGCAGAGAACUGUUCACUCACUCUCCUAAACAUCUCCUGUAUAGAUGUCGAAUUGCCAACAAAUGUCGAAGCCAUCGAAAGGCCUCUAGGUGGGACAUCACAGACACUGGACUUCACAUUAUUGGGAAUCCAUUCAACGAAGUAAGAAGAAUUCUUGUUCUGCACAUUCAUUACCUGUUCAUCCACUUCUUUUGUGCUCAUUUUCCCUCUAAACACCGCUGAGGCUGUUAAAUAACGGCCAUGGCGUGGAUCCGCCGCACACAUCAUGUUCUUGGCAUCCCACAUCUGUUGUGUAAGUUCUGGUACGGUAAGUGCACGGUAGUUCUGCGAUCCUUGAGAUGUCAGGGGAGCGAAACCCACCAUGAAGAAGUGAAGGCGUGGAAAUGGGAUCAAGUUCACUGCUAGCUUCCGCAGGUCUGAAUUUAGCUGACCCGGGAAUCUUAAGCAACAAGUCACUCCACUCAUUGUUGCUGAGAUCAAAUGAUUCAAAUCUCCAACUGGAAAAAAUUAAUUUGGUAAAUCAUAUUCAAGAACAAAAGAUUUCAUAUAUAAUAUAACAUGAGGUGCUCACUUAAUUAUACUACAUGCGAUCAAUUGCCAUAUAAAUUAAAUUAUAUGUAUCUUAUACUAUAUGUUAUAAUUACUUACAACUUGGUGUGGUGAGUUUGAGGGUCCUGAAGCAGAUGUCAUAGAGUGCUUCAUUAUCAAGGACCAUACACUCAUCGGCAUUCUCCACCAAUUGGUGAACAGAAAGUGUUGCAUUGUAAGGCUCAACAACUGUGUCUGACACCUUUGGAGAUGGAAAGACAGAGAAAGUGAGCAUCAUUCGAUCAGGGUAUUCUUCUCUGAUCUUUGAAAUGAGUAGAGUUCCCAUUCCAGAACCCGUUCCUCCUCCCAAGGAGUGGCACACUUGAAAUCCUAUAUUUAUCAAUCACAAUAACCAACAUCUUUAAAUAAAUUCUGCAUAUUCUUUUAAAUUUUAAUAAAACUUUAUAGUAUUGUGUUUAUCCUAUGAUGUUUGAUUACCUUGCAAGCAAUCACAAUUCUCAACCUCCUUCCUUACAACAUCAAGAACAAAGUCAAUGAGCUCGGCACCCUCAGUGUAAUGACCCUUGGCGAAAUUGUUUCCGGCACCAGACUGUCCAAAUACAAAGUUGUCUGGUCGGAAAAUCUGCCCAUAAGGGCCGGACCGGACAGCAUCCAUGGUGCCAGGCUCAAGGUCCAUCAACACUGCCCUGGGAACAUAACGCCCGUUAGAUCCCUCAUUGUAAUAAACAUUGACUCUUUCGAGUUGUUGAAGUUUGGAGUUCCCUAUAUAUUGUCCUAUGGGGUCAAUCCCGUGCUCAUCGCAUACCGCUUCCCAGAACUUUGUUCCUAUUUGGUUUCCACACUGUCCUCCUUGAAUGUGAAGAAUCUCACGCAUUUUCAACACUAUUAAUCAGCUAACUAACUUAGCAGAGGCAAAAUGGAAACCAAACUGAUUUUUCAGCUGUCAAAUUCUCCCCCUUUACCAGGGCUUGGACUUGGGAGAAGCAAAGGUUGGUUUGGCUGCAUAUAUUUAUAGUGAAGGAUGGAUCAAGUGAACGUGUAAAUGGAAGAAGAAUAAAAGAGUUACAUAUGACUUGAUUGCCCUUGGAAAAUGAAGGGUGAGGAUGAGAUCACACAGUGGAGGAUUGCUGAGAGAUGGAAGGAAUCAAAUGUUAAAGUUGAAUGAAUCAAUGAUUGCCACAUGUAGGCUGUUGCUUGCAAAACCGCCGGCCUUUUCAACAUCGCUAAAAAUGUCCAUUUCUCAUCAUUAUAUUUUAUGUAGUACUAAUAGUAAGGAAUAAGGAAUUGUAUGGUAAUGGCAAAUACCACUUGAUAAUAAGUUAUUAAGUUUAUUUUCAAUAUGCU
Molecule: long non-coding RNA, 2639 nt
Filed under: Medicago truncatula (barrel medic)
Lineage: Eukaryota; Viridiplantae; Streptophyta; Magnoliopsida; Fabales; Fabaceae
Description: lncRNA gene50553
Source: RNAcentral